Molecule: long non-coding RNA, 335 nt
Organism: Sapajus apella (tufted capuchin)
Lineage: Eukaryota; Metazoa; Chordata; Mammalia; Primates; Cebidae
Exons: 2
Source: RefSeq, a predicted model, not a curated record
UAUGUCACCCAGGCUGGAGUGCAGUGGGAGAAUCUUGGCUCAUUGCAAUCUCUGUCUCCUAGGCUUAGGUGAUCCUCCUGCCUCAGCCUCUGGAGUAGCUGGGGCUACAGCACUUUGUUCUACGCUCCAGCCCCUGUGGGAAAUGAGGGUAUCUAAGAGACUGCUUCGGCAUUCAGUGAGCGCACAGGUUAGCAGGCUGUUAAGAUGAGAAGGACCUGCUGUUUCACAUCAGACGCCACAUCAAAAACACUAAAAGCAACGUGGAAUGGAAUUCAGACAGGUCAGUGUUUGCGGGUGGAGAGAGGGAACAUGCAGGAAGAGGUCGCCAGGACUGG